CAGCUCGGCGGGGGACCCCCGCGCUUCCUGCUCGACCUGCGGCAGUAUUUGGGAAAUUCCACUUAUUUGGACGACCAUGGACCACCUCCUAGUAAGGUAAGAUCUUCGUGAUAUGAAUCCCCUUUUCCUUUUCUCAGUACCUACACCCUCCACAACCCCAACUAGAUCCCUCCUGGCCCUGAAUUGUUCAGAGGAGAAUAGCAGAUAGCAGAUGUCCAGUUAAGCUUUACUAAUUAAUAGUCAAUAGAAAAAGGAAGUGUGCAAAGAGAGCCAAAAUGGUAAGGGAGUGAGAGCCAUCAUUCCAUCAGUAGCCGUAGCUGUCCCAGGCGCCGGAGCCUCAGGCCGACUUCAGACGUGUGACUGCUUCUCCUGUUGGCUGCCUCACUUGCCUCUGCAUCCAUGCUGACCUACAAUGUGAAGUCUGAAGCCCAGCCUCCUCAUGCCUUUGACCUUGGGCUAGACUCACAUCUGCCCCUUCCUCUACCUCCUGCCUUGCUUGGAAUACUCCACCCAAGGCCCUGCCCCCUGUAAACCGGCCUUCUCUGCCAGUCCCCUCUCGAAGCUGCCCUGGCCUGGCCUGCAUAACCACUUUUGUUCUUAGAAGCAACUCCGGCUUGACUUUUAAGGGUCGGCAGAGGCCAGUGAGGUAUUCGUGCUAUUCUCCACCACUACGACUUUCUCAAGUGCACUGAAAAGCAACUAUCAACCUACUGAAAAAUGAGAAAACUGUAGACACUCUUUUUGACCAUUUAAGAUGAUGCCUGCAAAGUGCAGGUGUAAGCGCCUAGUGAGAAGACAAUCAGCCAUUAACCUUAGAGGCUAGAAAUUUACCCUGAAAUUGGCUUGUGAAUUGGUGGGAUUCGGAGAAGAAAGCCAUCACAGUUAAGACCGUGAGCUUUGGAAUAAGGUGUUUCUGGGUUCACCUCGGGCUCUACACUAUCAAUAUAUGAUGUUGGACAAAUUACUUAAUGUAUUUAAUGUGCAAAAUGGGAUUAAAAAAUAUGAUCCAUAGUAUAGGACAUCUGUAAGGACUGAACGAGCUGAUAUGUGACAAGCACUCAGCACCUGGCAUAUAAUAAGCAUUAAAUAAACGCUGGCCAGUGUUAACUAGACUAGAAUAGCAUUAAGAUUAUUAUUAUUUUUUUGUCUUUUUGCCAUUUCUAGGGCUGCUCCUGCGGCAUAUGGAGGUUCCCAGGCUAGGGGGUCUAAUUGGAGCCAGAGCCACAGCAAUGCAGGAUCUGGGAUCUGAGCCGCGUCUCGAUCUACACCACAGCUCACAGCAAUGCCGGAUCCUUAACCCACUGAGCAAGGGCAGGGAUCGAACCCACAACCUCAUGGUUCCUAGUCAGAUUCAUUAACCACGUGCCACGACAGGAACUCCUAGCAUUAAGAUUAUUGAUGAACAGUACAGUAGUAUUUAUCACAGUGGUGAAUGGCUUACCGCUUGGUCCACUGCAUAUACAUCGAGUGCCUGUGAUGCUGCAGACACUAGGAAACCAUUGUGAAAGAAAACAAGAGCAACAACCAGAUGGCCACUACCCUGGAGAAACAAGAGGAAUGGAGAGGAUUAGAUAGUAUCUGAGGAUAAUAAUCAUAUCUAGCUCAUCUCCAUGUCCUCACAUCCUUGCAUGAGCCUCGACACACAGGAAGGCACACUGUGACUGUUAACCGGACCAUGGAAUCCAGCACUGGAAUCUGAAUUCGGUCUCCUGGCUCCCAUCCCAGGUUCUUUCCACUAAGGCCAGGGUUCUCAAACUGUAGCUUGCAUCAGAAUUUCUUGGAGACUUGUUAAAACAUGAUUUGCUGGGCUCAUACCCCUGACUGCCUAAUGCAGUUGGUCCAAGGUGCAUUUCUAAGAAGCUCCCAAGUGAUGCUGAUACUGCAGGUCUGGGGACCACAUUUGAGAAGUGUUGCUCUAAACGCCAUGAAUACAAAGAAAANUCUAAACGCCAUGAAUACAAAAAAAACCAUUUCCCUGAACUUUUUUUUUUUUUUUUUACUGCUAAUAGUCUAGAGAUCAUGGCAUGACUUAUUAUACAGAGACUAUGAAUUAAUAUAAUUGCAACUUUUCUUAUAGUGAAAAUAUAUUUUCUUUAGUCAAUAAUGGGCUUAGGAGGGAAACUAAAUGGGAGUGGGGAAGAAGAAUGGUGUGGAUCUCCUGCUGGGUUCCUUCAGCACUCACUGCACUUCUUUCCUAAGGAGGGCCAAGUGAACCCCCACCACCCACGCUGCUCUGCAGGGAAGGGGGUUUGGUGGCCCCAUUUGUGGGAUCUACUAGCUGUUUCCCUCAAUGACAUAUCAGCCCAUUACUUGGGGUCCCAGCUUGAUAAGCGGAGUUUUACCUGGUCCGAAGACCCAGGUCCACUUUAUGGAAACUUGCCUUCUUGAACGCCAUCCUGGGGACACUCUGUGAGUCUGCCUGAAGACCUUGCUCUUGCCAAGCUGGCCAUCCUCCUGUCUCUACGCCUGUGUCCUUGGCACCCGGGUUUUGUAUUUGCUGGGCGCUCUGCCCUUGCCCCAGCAGGGCUUUCCUUGGCUGGGCAUUCUCCUUCCCCUGCAGUCUGGUCUGCACACCCUCCUCCACCAGCCCUAGCCAAGGCCCCCUGCAACACACAAAAACCAUCAGGUCAUAGCAGAUCAUGUUAGAUCAUUCUCAGAAUAAAUCCAGCUUUAUCAACGCUGGUCCGAGUUUAAAAACCAUGAGCACCAUCUCUUUCAGCAGCAGAAGUUUAUAUAAUACAGGUUUCUUUCACCGCAACUGUGCUUUCAUUAUCUAGGAGCAAAAAAUGCUCUUACCUUUCUAAGCAGUAGCCAAAA
RNAcentral lists this long non-coding RNA (2817 nucleotides) under Sus scrofa (pig). RNAcentral describes it as "lncRNA (ENSSSCG00060040910.1)". Lineage: Eukaryota; Metazoa; Chordata; Mammalia; Artiodactyla; Suidae. The record is from RNAcentral.